This 102-nucleotide Y RNA is filed under the name Prolemur simus (greater bamboo lemur). RNAcentral's name for it is "Y RNA (ENSPSMG00000024113.1)". It matches the Rfam family "Y RNA". Rfam says of the family: Y RNAs are components of the Ro ribonucleoprotein particle (Ro RNP), in association with Ro60 and La proteins. The Y RNAs and Ro60 and La proteins are well conserved, but the function of the Ro RNP is not known. Lineage: Eukaryota; Metazoa; Chordata; Mammalia; Primates; Lemuridae. The record is from Rfam by way of RNAcentral.
GGCUGGUCUGAGAGUAAUGGUGUUUACAACCAGUUGAUCACAACCAAUUACAGAUUCCUUUGUUCCUUCUCCACUUCCACUAUUUCACUUGACUAGCCUUAA